Molecule: ribosomal RNA, 439 nt
Filed under: uncultured bacterium
Lineage: Bacteria
Description: partial 16S ribosomal RNA
Rfam family: Bacterial small subunit ribosomal RNA
Source: RNAcentral
CUACGGGACGCUCCAGUGGGGAAUAUUGCACAAUGGAGGAAACUCUGAUGCAGCAACGCCGCGUGGAGGAUGACAAUUUUCGGAGCGUAAACUCCUUUUAUAUAGGAAGAAGAUGACGGUACUAUAUGAAUAAGCGCCGGCUAACUCCGUGCCAGCAGCCGCGGUAAUACGGAGGGCGCAAGCGUUACUCGGAAUCACUGGGCGUAAGGAGCGUGUAGGCGGAUUAAAAAGUCAGAAGUGAAAUCCUAUAGCUUAACUAUAGAACUGCUUCUGAAACUCUUAAUCUAGAAUAUGGGAGAGGUAGAUGUAAUUUCUGGUGUAUGUGUAAUAUCCGUAGGGGACAGAAGGGAUCUCGAUUGCGAAGGUGGUCUACUAGGUCAGUUGUGUCUCUGAGACGCGAAAGGGUGCGGACCAGUCGGGAUUAGAUACCCCGGUAGUC